AGCAGCCGCGGUAAUUCCAGCUCCAAUAGCGUAUAUUAAAGUUGUUGCAGUUAAAAAGCUCGUAGUUGAAUUUCGGGGUCAAUAAGUUGGUCAUGCCAAUGGUAUGCACUGGCUUUAUUGAUUCCUACCUCUUGACGAACUGUGAUGCCAUUAAUUUGGUGUUGCAAGGAAUCAGGACUGUUACCUUGAAAAAAUUAGAGUGUUUAAAGCAAGCUUACGCUUGAAUACAUUAGCAUGGAAUAAUGAAAUAGGACGUUUGAUCCUAUUUUGUUGGUUUCUAGGAUCGACGUAAUGAUUAAUAGGGAUAGUUGGGGGCAUUAGUAUUCAAUUGUCAGAGGUGAAAUUCUUGGAUUUAUUGAAGACUAACUACUGCGAAAGCAUUUGCCAAGGAUGUUUUCAUUAAUCAAGAACGAAAGUUAGGGGAUCGAAGACGAUCAGAUACCGUCGUAGUCUUAACCAUAAACUAUGCCGACUAGGGAUCGGAUGAUGUUAAUUUUUAAUGGUCUCAUUCGCG
RNAcentral lists this ribosomal RNA (514 nucleotides) under uncultured Glomus. RNAcentral describes it as "SSU rRNA". It matches the Rfam family "Eukaryotic small subunit ribosomal RNA", at positions 569 to 1084 of the family's 1831-position model. Lineage: Eukaryota; Fungi; Glomeromycota; Glomeromycetes; Glomerales; Glomeraceae. The record is from RNAcentral.